This 73-nucleotide transfer RNA is filed under the name Pheidole yeensis. RNAcentral describes it as "tRNA-Leu". Lineage: Eukaryota; Metazoa; Arthropoda; Insecta; Hymenoptera; Formicidae. The record is from RNAcentral.
AUUACUUUGGCAGAUUAGUGCAUUAAAUUUAGAAUUUAAUAUAAAAUAUAAUAAAUUUAUUAUAUAAGUAAUA